This 253-nucleotide ribosomal RNA is filed under the name uncultured bacterium. RNAcentral describes it as "partial 16S ribosomal RNA". It matches the Rfam family "Bacterial small subunit ribosomal RNA", at positions 524 to 776 of the family's 1533-position model. The record is from RNAcentral.
UACGGAGGGGGCUAGCGUUGUUCGGAAUUACUGGGCGUAAAGCGCACGUAGGCGGCUUUGUAAGUUAGAGGUGAAAGCCCAGAGCUCAACUCUGGAACUGCCUUUAAGACUGCAUCGCUUGAAUCAUGGAGAGGUUAGUGGAAUUCCGAGCGUAGAGGUGAAAUUCGUAGAUAUUCGGAAGAACACCAGUGGCGAAGGCGACUAACUGGACAUGUAUUGACGCUGAGGUGCGAAAGCGUGGGGAGCAAACAGG